CCACUUCAAAUACAUUGUCUCGUGUAUUUGCAUAAUUUUUUGUAACUAAACUAUGUUUAUUCAAUUAAUUGAUUGCAAAUCCUUAUGUGUAAGUUGCUGUCCACUUUUCCAUUAAUUGAUUGCAAAUCCUUAGCUGUAAAUUAUUCAACUCAAACGGAAGCUUGAUAUUUGAUGUUCCAGUGCUUUUUUCGAAGCUUGAAUAAUAACCCUUUCGCAGUGCUUUUUCCUUGACUCUCCUUUUUUCUUUAACUAGCAACCACUUAGGCUUGAAAAACACAUGCUUCAGUAAGAAAUCGUGAAUCAAAUAUUCUCCAGCG
Molecule: long non-coding RNA, 317 nt
Filed under: Prunus persica (peach)
Lineage: Eukaryota; Viridiplantae; Streptophyta; Magnoliopsida; Rosales; Rosaceae
Description: long non-coding RNA (PPER_LNC003615)
Source: RNAcentral